UUUGGAUACUUGCCUCGUGUC
Molecule: non-coding RNA, 21 nt
Filed under: Arabidopsis thaliana (thale cress)
Lineage: Eukaryota; Viridiplantae; Streptophyta; Magnoliopsida; Brassicales; Brassicaceae
Source: RNAcentral